GAAGCCAGGCCAAGAAGAAUCCCAGGACUGGAAGGCCUUGUGGGACGUCCCAGGUUUGUCUUGUGUCAAUAGCACUGAUACUCAAUCUCCUACUCCCAUCUGUGAGCAUGCAGACCCUACUUGCCUUCCCACAGCCUCCCUUUUCAUAUUUUUCAUGUUUCUUUAGCUCUGUCUUCAAGCCUUGUUGCUCCCGCAAAAAAACCUGCCUCUUCCUCCAGUCCUCCCAAGCAGGGGGAACAGUCCUGACACCUUUCCAAGCCCUGGUCCAUGGACAUUGUGCCCCCUUCUCCCUGCCCAUGGUGACCUGCUCCAAAACCCUCAAGGAGAAGGGAGUGUAUGUCAUUUCCUCCCUGUAAAGUAAAGAUAAUUUUGCAGGGGACUGUGUGGAUGAAAUGACAUGAUGCAUGGAAAUCCCUUAGCGUGUGCCUGGCAUGUAAACUGCAGGUGUCAUCAUUAUUACUGAGGAAUACUGAGUCCCGAACAUGGCUGUCUCAUUGGUGGACUGGGGUCUCCCCCAGGGCAUUCAUCUACUAUGUGUUUAUUGCACCCUUUUUCCAUGUGAGGCACAUGCCAGGGACUGGGCACAUGGUAUGAACAAGACACAGGUCAUCGGUGUCCUCUUGAGCUCCCUGGCUUGGCAGCAGAUGCAUACCUGGGAAGGAUGCUAGGUCAUCCGGGAACUCUACCUCCUUCAAAUCCCUAAGGACUGUGCUCCCAAUCCGCUUACGCUCAAGGAAGAACUGGAAGGCCCAGAACCAGCCUGCUGUCAGGAUCAGAACAAAAGAGGAGGACUGCAUAUGUAUGGACCCACUCCAGAUGGCACGGGGACGGGGGGAGUAGGAAAAGUGGCAUGAGACCAGGCCCACAGAGUAUGGCUGUGCAAGUUGUUCACUCUACAAGGGCACCUGGCCGGGGUCUUACCUUGAAUGGAGGAGAAGAGCUUGAAGAUGAGGGGACAGGCCAAGACAACUACCUGGCCCCGAGGGGUGGCUGGCCAGCAGAUGAGGAAAUGGAGGCACAGACUGAUUAGAAAACCAGCUCAAGGUCAUGUUGCUGCUCUCUCAUUCCUGUUGAGGGCUCUCUGGUGGAGCCUCUGUCUCACAGGUCACCUGCAGGCCAACACUCCCAGAAGCAGCUAGCACCAUGGUUGACCUCGUCCAGGUCCAGGGAAGGCCUCCCUCUCCAGGACUCCUUUAGAUUUCCCCAGCAUCCAGACCUCACCUGCCUAAGUGCUGUUGCCCUGGAAGCCACAGUGAGCACGAGCUCCAUCUUGCACCUUUACCAGCCAAUGGGGGUAAAGACAUUAGCUGGCCAUGUUCAAUCCCCUCAAGGGAAGCCUGAGACCACAGCUACUGCCUCGAAUCAGAAGCCCCAGCCUCAUCAUCUGGGGCCAGAGAACUAGGGCAGGAGGAGCCAAGUAGCACAGCAGGAAGCAUGAGUCCCUCCGAGGAGAAGCUGGUCUCUGAGAGGAGCACAGAAUGCAGCAGGCUGGAUAAGCCCCCUGCUGAAAUCAUGGGGUAAAAAAGAGACACAGGGGGAAUGGAGGAGCCAGAGAGAAAGCAGUGUGAUCACAGGCACACAGGACAGCAGCUCACCUUCCCAUCCUUGCUGGCUUUUGCACCCAACAGCCCAAAGCCUCCCCGCUGCAAAUUCUUUUUUUUUUUUUUUUUUGCCAGCCUCACUUCCUCUUGGGGAAGGCUGAGCUCUGGUAGAAGAAGAGAAUGAGAACUGCUGUAAAUACUUCUAAGGGGCCAGGCGUGGUGACUCAUGCUUGUAAUUCCAAGCACUUUGGGAGGCUGAGGCAGGUGGAUCACCUGAAGCCAGGAGUUCAAGAGCAGCCUGGCCAACAUGGCGAAACCCUGUCUCUACUAAAAAUACAAAAUUUAGCCAGGCAUGGUGGCGGGAGCCUGUAAUCUCAGCUCCUAGGGAGGCUGAGCCAGAAGAAUCGCUUAAACCUGGAAGCUGGAGGUUGCAGUGAGCCAAGAUCACACCACCACACUCCAGCCUGGGUGACAGAGCAAGACUCCAUCUCAAAAAGAAAAAAAAGAAAAAAAGGAAAUACUUCUAAGUUAUGUGAGAGAGUACAUACUGACAUUUUCAAUGGGUACAAUAA
This 2113-nucleotide long non-coding RNA is filed under the name Homo sapiens (human). Its description in RNAcentral is "PREDICTED lncRNA (TCONS_00191761)". Lineage: Eukaryota; Metazoa; Chordata; Mammalia; Primates; Hominidae. The record is from RNAcentral.